Molecule: ribosomal RNA, 432 nt
Filed under: uncultured bacterium
Lineage: Bacteria
Description: partial 16S ribosomal RNA
Rfam family: Bacterial small subunit ribosomal RNA
Source: RNAcentral
AACGAACGCUGGCGGCAUGCCUAACACAUGCAAGUCGAACGAGACCUUCGGGUCUAGUGGCGCACGGGUGCGUAACGCGUGGGAACCUGCCCUUAGGUUCGGAAUAACUCCCCGAAAGGGGUGCUAAUACCGGAUAAUGUCUUCGGACCAAAGAUUUAUCGCCUUUGGAUGGGCCCGCGUUGGAUUAGCUAGUUGGUAGGGUAAAAGCCUACCAAGGCGACGAUCCAUAGCUGGUCUGAGAGGAUGAUCAGCCACACUGGGACUGAGACACGGCCCAGACCCCUGCGGGAGGCAGAAGUGGGGAAUUUUGGACAGGGGGCGAAAGCCUGAUCCAGCAAUGCCGGGGGAGUUAUGAAGGCCUUAGGGUUGUAAAGCUCUUUUACCCGGGAUGAUAAUGGCGGUACCGGGAAAAGGAGCCCCGGCUAACUCCUG